Molecule: ribosomal RNA, 1557 nt
Filed under: Enterococcus faecium
Lineage: Bacteria; Bacillati; Bacillota; Bacilli; Lactobacillales; Enterococcaceae
Description: bacterial SSU rRNA
Rfam family: Bacterial small subunit ribosomal RNA
Source: RNAcentral
UUUUAUGAGAGUUUGAUCCUGGCUCAGGACGAACGCUGGCGGCGUGCCUAAUACAUGCAAGUCGAACGCUUCUUUUUCCACCGGAGCUUGCUCCACCGGAAAAAGAAGAGUGGCGAACGGGUGAGUAACACGUGGGUAACCUGCCCAUCAGAAGGGGAUAACACUUGGAAACAGGUGCUAAUACCGUAUAACAAUCGAAACCGCAUGGUUUUGAUUUGAAAGGCGCUUUCGGGUGUCGCUGAUGGAUGGACCCGCGGUGCAUUAGCUAGUUGGUGAGGUAACGGCUCACCAAGGCCACGAUGCAUAGCCGACCUGAGAGGGUGAUCGGCCACAUUGGGACUGAGACACGGCCCAAACUCCUACGGGAGGCAGCAGUAGGGAAUCUUCGGCAAUGGACGAAAGUCUGACCGAGCAACGCCGCGUGAGUGAAGAAGGUUUUCGGAUCGUAAAACUCUGUUGUUAGAGAAGAACAAGGAUGAGAGUAACUGUUCAUCCCUUGACGGUAUCUAACCAGAAAGCCACGGCUAACUACGUGCCAGCAGCCGCGGUAAUACGUAGGUGGCAAGCGUUGUCCGGAUUUAUUGGGCGUAAAGCGAGCGCAGGCGGUUUCUUAAGUCUGAUGUGCCCCGGCUCAACCGGGGAGGUCAUUGGAAACUGGGAGACUUGAGUGCAGAAGAGAGUGGAAUUCCAUGUAGCGGUGAAAUGCGUAGAUAUAUGGAGGAACACCAGUGGCGAAGGCGGCUCUCUGGUCUGUAACUGACGCUGAGGCUCGAAAGCGUGGGGAGCAAACAGGAUUAGAUACCCUGGUAGUCCACGCCGUAAACGAUGAGUGCUAAGUGUUGGAGGGUUUCCGCCCUUCAGUGCUGCAGCUAACGCAUUAAGCACUCCGCCUGGGGAGUACGACCGCAAGGUUGAAACUCAAAGGAAUUGACGGGGGCCCGCACAAGCGGUGGAGCAUGUGGUUUAAUUCGAAGCAACGCGAAGAACCUUACCAGGUCUUGACAUCCUUUGACCACUCUAGAGAUAGAGCUUCCCCUUCGGGGGCAAAGUGACAGGUGGUGCAUGGUUGUCGUCAGCUCGUGUCGUGAGAUGUUGGGUUAAGUCCCGCAACGAGCGCAACCCUUAUUGUUAGUUGCCAUCAUUCAGUUGGGCACUCUAGCAAGACUGCCGGUGACAAACCGGAGGAAGGUGGGGAUGACGUCAAAUCAUCAUGCCCCUUAUGACCUGGGCUACACACGUGCUACAAUGGGAAGUACAACGAGUCGCGAAGUCGCGAGGCUAAGCUAAUCUCUUAAAGCUUCUCUCAGUUCGGAUUGCAGGCUGCAACUCGCCUGCAUGAAGCCGGAAUCGCUAGUAAUCGCGGAUCAGCACGCCGCGGUGAAUACGUUCCCGGGCCUUGUACACACCGCCCGUCACACCACGAGAGUUUGUAACACCCGAAGUCGGUGAGGUAACCUUUUGGAGCCAGCCGCCUAAGGUGGGAUAGAUGAUUGGGGUGAAGUCGUAACAAGGUAGCCGUAUCGGAAGGUGCGGCUGGAUCACCUCCUUUCUAAGGAA